AACGAACGCUGGCGGCAUGCCUAACACAUGCAAGUCGAACGAGACCUUCGGGUCUAGUGGCGCACGGGUGCGUAACGAGUGGGAACCUGCCCUUAGGUUCGGAAUAACUCCCCGAAAGGGGUGCUAAUACCGGAUAAUGUCUUCGGACCAAAGAUUUAUCGCCUUUGGAUGGGCCCGCGUUGGAUUAGCUAGUUGGUAGGGUAAAAGCCUACCAAGGCGACGAUCCAUAGCUGGUCUGAGAGGAUGAUCAGCCACACUGGGACUGAGACACGGCCCAGACUCCUACGGGAGGCAGCAGUGGGGAAUAUUGGACAAUGGGCGAAAGCCUGAUCCAGCAAUGCCGCGUGAGUGAUGAAGGCCUUAGGGUUGUAAAGCUCUUUUACCCGGGAUGAUAAUGACAGUACCGGGAGAAUAAGCUCCGGCUAACUCCGUG
RNAcentral lists this ribosomal RNA (433 nucleotides) under uncultured bacterium. Its description in RNAcentral is "partial 16S ribosomal RNA". It matches the Rfam family "Bacterial small subunit ribosomal RNA", at positions 29 to 507 of the family's 1533-position model. The record is from RNAcentral.